UCUGUGAACUCCUACGGGAGGCAGCAGUGGGGAAUAUUGCACUAUGGGCGAAAGCCUGAUGCAGCGACGCCGCGUGGGGGAUGACGGCCUUCGGGUUGUAAACCUCUUUCAGCAAGGAAGAAGCGAAAGUGACGGUACUUGCAGAAGAAGCGCCGGCUAACUACGUGCCAGCAGCCGCGGUAAUACGUAGGGCGCAAGCGUUGUCCGGAAUUAUUGGGCGUAAAGGGCUUGUAGGUGGCUUGUCGCGUCUGCCGUGAAAACUCGAGGCUUAACCUUGGGCGUGCGGUGGGUACGGGCAGGCUAGAGUGCGGUAGGGGAGACUGGAAUUCCUGGUGUAGCGGUGAAAUGCGCAGAUAUCAGGAGGAACACCGAUGGCGAAGGCAGGUCUCUGGGCCGUUACUGACACUGAGAAGCGAAAGCAUGGGGAGCGAACAGGAUUAGAAACCCGAGUAGUCCAUCAGCG
Molecule: ribosomal RNA, 463 nt
Filed under: uncultured bacterium
Lineage: Bacteria
Description: bacterial SSU rRNA
Rfam family: Bacterial small subunit ribosomal RNA
Source: RNAcentral